Molecule: long non-coding RNA, 985 nt
Organism: Solanum dulcamara
Lineage: Eukaryota; Viridiplantae; Streptophyta; Magnoliopsida; Solanales; Solanaceae
Exons: 4
Source: RefSeq, a predicted model, not a curated record
ACGACAUCCUUCUAUGCAAGCUUCUAGGCCUCUACAGGAGAGUGUUACGAGGCUUUAUAUGUAGAUCUAUCACUCUUGGCGUGAGAUUCCAAAUAGUAUACGACAUGCCAUGUUUAAUGAAUUUACGACGUCGUGUACUUGGUAACCGAAGUACAAUAUGGUUAUUGCGACCACAUUUGAAAGGAAAGCGAGUGUGAAACUGUCUAGCUGGCUUAAGAAAGCCCGGGAUUCAAUAACACCUCCAAUUUAAACAUCACCAGAUGUCUUUGAGGAGUUGUGUCGGUAUUAAAAUACUGAUGAAUUCAAGGUUGUGUUCGAACAAGCCAAAAAAGCUAGAGGUAGUCUAAAGGGUGGCUCGUUGCACAUCGGAGGUACAAAGAGUGUUGGAACAAUUAUAAGGGAGAUGAAAAAAUAAAAAAAAUGGGGCAUGCUACCCUUCGUAGCAAGGUUUUCAAGAGGACUCAUGUAAAGAACAAGAUUAAUGAGUCAGAUCCGGAUGAGAGGGUGGAGGAAAAGGGUCACACAAUGUUAUUGGUAGGAGGGACACAUAAGGGCAAGAUCUAUGGGAUGGACUCUCAGAUCGAUAUUCAAAGACUCCAAUCAGGUCUAGAAGGCAUUGGAUUGCCACGUCAAGCCGAGGCAAUUGAUGGUGUUCAAAUAGCUGGGAUGUCAAGGCAAAUCUCAAAACUUACACGUGCAUUGGCAGUAUCUGAGGCAAGAAGAAUUGUUGAACAAAAAAGCACGAAUGAAACCGUCGAGCAAAUAAAAGAACAAAUGCUCAACCUCGCUCGUCAUCCUAAACCGUCCUGUUCUUCUGGAGCUUCUACUUCUACCGAUGACUCAGAGGUUGACUUCAUAGAUUCCACCCCUUAGCUACCGUGAGUCUCUUUUAGUGAACAUUUAUUAAGUUUUUUACGAACUUUGAUAGACUUUUUUAAGUCUUUAAAGUAUAUUUUGUGUUUUUGAAUGUUUUAUUAAGUUUAUU